AGUAGCGGAGCAUGUGGUUUAAUUCGAAGCAACGCGAAGAACCUUACCUAAGCUUGACAUCCCAAUGACAUCUCCUUAAUCGGAGAGUUCCCUUCGGGGACAUUGGUGACAGGUGGUGCAUGGUUGUCGUCAGCUCGUGUCGUGAGAUGUUGGGUUAAGUCCCGCAACGAGCGCAACCCUUGUCUUUAGUUGCCAUCAUUAAGUUGGGCACUCUAGAGAGACUGCCAGGGAUAACCUGGAGGAAGGUGGGGAUGACGUCAAAUCAUCAUGCCCCUUAUGCUUAGGGCUACACACGUGCUACAAUGGGUAGUACAGAGGGUUGCCAAGCCGUAAGGCGGAGCUAAUCCCUUAAAGCUACUCUCAGUUCGGAUUGUAGGCUGAAACUCGCCUACAUGAAGCUGGAGUUACUAGUAAUCGCAGAUCAGAAUGCUGCGGUGAAUGCGUUCCCGGGUCUUGUACACACCGCCCGUCACACCACGGGAGUUGGAGACGCCCGAAGCCGAUUAUCUAACCUUUUGGAAGAAGUCGUCGAAGGUGGAAUCAAUAACUGGGGUGAAGUCGUAACAAGGUAGCCGUAUCGGAAGGUGCGGCUGGGUCACCUCCUUUCUAAGGA
This 613-nucleotide ribosomal RNA is filed under the name Clostridioides difficile. RNAcentral describes it as "bacterial SSU rRNA". It matches the Rfam family "Bacterial small subunit ribosomal RNA", at positions 928 to 1533 of the family's 1533-position model. The record is from RNAcentral. Lineage: Bacteria; Bacillati; Bacillota; Clostridia; Peptostreptococcales; Peptostreptococcaceae.